Molecule: ribosomal RNA, 236 nt
Filed under: uncultured bacterium
Lineage: Bacteria
Description: partial 16S ribosomal RNA
Rfam family: Bacterial small subunit ribosomal RNA
Source: RNAcentral
CCGGCGACGGGUGAGUAACGCGUAUGCAACUUGCCUAUCAGAGGGGGAUAACCCGGCGAAAGUCGGACUAAUACCGCAUGAAGCAGGGGCCCGCAUGGGGAUAUUUGCUAAAGAUUCAUCGCUGAUAGAUAGGCAUGCGUUCCAUUAGGCAGUUGGCGGGGUAACGGCCCACCAAACCGACGAUGGAUAGGGGUUCUGAGAGGAAGGUCCCCCACAUUGGACUGAGACACGGCCAA